This 31-nucleotide non-coding RNA is filed under the name Rattus norvegicus (Norway rat). The record is from RNAcentral. Lineage: Eukaryota; Metazoa; Chordata; Mammalia; Rodentia; Muridae.
UUGACUCUAGCAGACAGUCAGGCAUUCAUAA